Molecule: ribosomal RNA, 158 nt
Filed under: uncultured bacterium
Lineage: Bacteria
Description: partial 16S ribosomal RNA
Rfam family: Bacterial small subunit ribosomal RNA
Source: RNAcentral
CAAUGAGGAAUAUUGGUCAAUGGACGCAAGUCUGAACCAGCCAUGCCGCGUGCAGGAUGACGGCUCUAUGAGUUGUAAACUGCUUUUGUACGAGGGUAAACGCAGAUACGUGUAUCUGUCUGAAAGUAUCGUACGAAUAAGGAUCGGCUAACUCCGUG